GGGCGUAAAGGGCUCCGCAGGCGGUUUCUUAAGUCUGAUGUGAAAGCCCCCGGCUCAACCGGGGAGGGUCAUUGGAAACUGGGGAACUUGAGUGCAGAAGAGGAGAGUGGAAUUCCACGUGUAGCGGUGAAAUGCGUAGAGAUGUGGAGGAACACCAGUGGCGAAGGCGACUCUCUGGUCUGUAACUGACGCUGAGGAGCGAAAGCGUGGGGAGCGAACAGGAUUAGAUACCCUGGUAGUCCACGCCGUAAACGAUGAGUGCUAAGUGUUAGGGGGUUUCCGCCCCUUAGUGCUGCAGCUAACGCAUUAAGCACUCCGCCUGGGGAGUACGGUCGCAAGACUGAAACUCAAAGGAAUUGACGGGGGCCCGCACAAGCGGUGGAGCAUGUGGUUUAAUUCGAAGCAACGCGAAGAACCUUACCAGGUCUUGACAUCCUCUGACAAUCCUAGAGAUAGGACGUCCCCUUCGGGGGCAGAGUGACAGGUGGUGCAUGGUUGUCGUCAGCUCGUGUCGUGAGAUGUUGGGUUAAGUCCCGCAACGAGCGCAACCCUUGAUCUUAGUUGCCAGCAUUCAGUUGGGCACUCUAAGGUGACUGCCGGUGACAAACCGGAGGAAGGUGGGGAUGACGUCAAAUCAUCAUGCCCCUUAUGACCUGGGCUACACACGUGCUACAAUGGACAGAACAAAGG
This 690-nucleotide ribosomal RNA is filed under the name Bacillus subtilis. RNAcentral describes it as "bacterial SSU rRNA". It matches the Rfam family "Bacterial small subunit ribosomal RNA", at positions 556 to 1245 of the family's 1533-position model. The record is from RNAcentral. Lineage: Bacteria; Bacillati; Bacillota; Bacilli; Caryophanales; Bacillaceae.